Photinus pyralis (common eastern firefly) is the source of this 1159-nucleotide long non-coding RNA. RefSeq lists it as uncharacterized. Lineage: Eukaryota; Metazoa; Arthropoda; Insecta; Coleoptera; Lampyridae. The transcript has 3 exons. The record is from RefSeq and is a predicted model, not a curated record.
UCCUGCACCAAAACAACUCAAAACCAUGAACUUCAAAUUCUUUGUUUUUGCCAUAAUGGCAACCAUGUUAGUGGUGUCUAUAGCUGCAGCACCGGCAGCAGUCGUCAAUAAGAAAGAUAAAGACAUCGACAUUAUUAUCAUUCGAGCACGUCGCGAUGUGAGUGAGUGUUGUGACCUUGUUGGAGGUGCCAGUAAUGAUCGCAGCGCUGCUGAUUCUAUUUUGAAAGGAGAUGAAAGUUGAAGUUGUAUUAAUCAGUAUUGUAAAUAUUUCCGGAGAAUAUUCUUUAAUGAUCGUAGAAACCGCAACUGAAAUUUGAACGUUCAAAAAUGUAAAAAUACAUAUACAGGAUGUAUCAUUUAAGAUUCGAAAUUUUGAGUCACUACUAUUUAUUUUAUAGCAUUCAAAUAUUUUUUACUAACUAAUAUCACCCACCAAAAUUAUAUAUAAAUUAUGUAUAAAUUUGGUUUACAUAGGAUACAUGAACAAAAGAACCGAGGAUAUUUAAAGAUACAAAAAGAUUCACGCACUGUUUUUAUGGGAAUUUUUCGAAAGAAACUAACUAACUCGUGAACGAAAAGAUAUAGCGAUGCCAAACCUUCGCUAAUUGAUUUCUACGAGUUCUCAGUUCAAGGAUCAGUGCUAUUGAAUAUGAGCCGGAUCAAAAGUCUAGUUUCCGAAUACGAGUGGCAAAAAAUUCCCCUACUGAAAAUCGUAUGAGAUUCUUGGUAUCUUGCUUAUGUUUAGUCUUGUAACGGGCUACUCGCACAAAUUUUUUUGCAAUUCCUUACCGGAAAGUGGACCAGUUAUAUUAAACCGGAAAAUGAAGGGAUGUCGCCCUUUUACUUGAGCUGACAACAUGCAGACAACUAAGAUAAACUCGAAAUAUCAAGUAAUUACGCUUCCGUUUUCAUCUCUUAUUUAAAUAUUAUUUUAAUUUCCGGUACGAUUGCCACUGUAUACCUAAAUACACUGCAUUCAUUAUAUGAAAGUACCUACUAGAUGGCGCUGUGUGUGAAGAUAAGUACACACAGGAAAAAUAUAAAACGGUACCAAAUUAUUGUAUAGAAAUAUCCAGCAUUGCGAACAGAAAUAAAUCAAACGAUUUCACGCUUGGAUUUUUGACAUUAACAGCUAAUGAUCUAAUGACAGUUCGAAAGU